CCCACCGCCUCCGCCCUCGGCUCUGGACAGGGGAGGCGGGCUCGCUGUACGCACGCGCGCUGAGAUGACGGUCACAGUCCAUCAGCAUCCACGCCCCGCCCCUUCCUGGCGCGGCGGGAACGAUGAGCACACUCGGAACGAGACGCCAUUGGUUCGCUGGGCGGAAAAGUGUUGCUGCUGUGGUCCAGACCUUCAUUGCCUCAAUCCUGGUCUAUUACAAGAGCCUGCUUCUUGGUCUCCUUGAAUCAAGUCUCCUCCUGCUCAAAUGCCCAAGAGAUCUUCAAAAAGCAUAGGUCUGACCAUGUCACUUCCCUAUUCAAUAAACUCCAGUGGCUUCCUUUUA
This is a non-coding RNA of Phascolarctos cinereus (koala), 343 nucleotides long. The record is from RefSeq and is a predicted model, not a curated record. Lineage: Eukaryota; Metazoa; Chordata; Mammalia; Diprotodontia; Phascolarctidae.